GCCUGGGUGGCGGAAUCGGUAGACGCAGCGGAUUCAAAAUCCGCCGGUGAAUAACCGUGAGAGUUCGAGUCUCUCUCCAGGCACCA
Molecule: transfer RNA, 86 nt
Filed under: Thiothrix sp.
Lineage: Bacteria; Pseudomonadati; Pseudomonadota; Gammaproteobacteria; Thiotrichales; Thiotrichaceae
Also listed under: 1 other name
Description: tRNA-Leu
Rfam family: tRNA
About the family: Transfer RNA (tRNA) molecules are approximately 80 nucleotides in length. Their secondary structure includes four short double-helical elements and three loops (D, anti-codon, and T loops). Further hydrogen bonds mediate the characteristic L-shaped molecular structure. tRNAs have two regions of fundamental functional importance: the anti-codon, which is responsible for specific mRNA codon recognition, and the 3' end, to which the tRNAs corresponding amino acid is attached (by aminoacyl-tRNA synthetases). tRNAs cope with the degeneracy of the genetic code in two manners: having more than one tRNA (with a specific anti-codon) for a particular amino acid; and 'wobble' base-pairing, i.e. permitting non-standard base-pairing at the 3rd anti-codon position.
Source: RNAcentral